RNAcentral lists this ribosomal RNA (751 nucleotides) under uncultured bacterium. RNAcentral's name for it is "bacterial SSU rRNA". It matches the Rfam family "Bacterial small subunit ribosomal RNA", at positions 54 to 787 of the family's 1533-position model. The record is from RNAcentral.
CAUGCAAGUCGAACGGAGAUUACUUCGGUAAUCUUAGUGGCGAACGGGUGAGUAACGCGUGGGCAACCUGCCCUCUAGAUGGGGACAACAUCCCGAAAGGGGUGCUAAUACCGAAUGUGACAGCAAUCUCGCAUGAGGAUGCUGUGAAAGAUGGCCUCUAUUUAUAAGCUAUCGCUAGAGGAUGGGCCUGCGUCUGAUUAGCUAGUUGGUGGGGUAACGGCCUACCAAGGCGAUGAUCAGUAGCCGGUCUGAGAGGAUGAACGGCCACAUUGGGACUGAGACACGGCCCAGACUCCUACGGGAGGCAGCAGUGGGGAAUCUUCCGCAAUGGGCGAAAGCCUGACGGAGCAAUGCCGCGUGAGUGAUGAAGGAAUUCGUUCCGUAAAGCUCUUUUGUUUAUGACGAAUGUGCAGGUUGUGAAUAAUGACUUGUAAUGACGGUAGUAAACGAAUAAGCCACGGCUAACUACGUGCCAGCAGCCGCGGUAAUACGUAGGUGGCGAGCGUUGUCCGGAAUUAUUGGGCGUAAAGAGCAUGUAGGCGGUUUUUUAAGUCUGGAGUGAAAAUGCGGGGCUCAACCCCGUAUGGCUCUGGAUACUGGAAGACUUGAGUGCAGGAGAGGAAAGGGGAAUUCCCAGUGUAGCGGUGAAAUGCGUAGAUAUUGGGAGGAACACCAGUGGCGAAGGCGCCUUUCUGGACUGUGUCUGACGCUGAGAUGCGAAAGCCAGGGUAGCGAACGGGAUUAGAUACCC